This is a non-coding RNA of Coffea arabica (coffee), 550 nucleotides long. The record is from RefSeq and is a predicted model, not a curated record. Lineage: Eukaryota; Viridiplantae; Streptophyta; Magnoliopsida; Gentianales; Rubiaceae.
CCUAUGGCUAUGAAGAAGCCCUUUCUUUUUUUCCUUUUUUUUUCCCCAUUCCUGAUGUUUGUUUACUCAUCCAAGUCUCUAGCUUGAGGAUCAUUUGUGGCUUCUUCUUCGAGCAUAUUAUGAGUUGGCGGAUCUCGGUCAGUGACUGGGUGCUCAGGUGAUCAUACUUGAAAAGGUCAACGAGCUCUUGAGUUGAGAGUCUUUUGAGAGCGAAGUGAUGCUCGAGAAUUCCAUUCAUGCUUGCUGCUCUGCUUAGGCUUAAAUGUUCUAAGCAUGUUCUUUCCAACCAAUCAAUACUCAAUUUGAUUGCCUGCGGUUUUGGAGACUGCGGAAGAUGAUCAGAUGACGCUCGAGGCGCCAGACUAAUCCGCACUGAUGACCCGAGUCAAAUUCAUACCAGGUUGAAUCGCCGGCUCGUUGACUAGUGAUUUAACCGGGGGUUUGUUGCUUAACUGGUUUAAUUAGCAACCCAGCCCAGUUCUAUGGCCAGUUCGAUCGCCGGGCCGGCCCAACCUAUGGCUGAUAGGUAGCUUAAUGCCUUUAAGGACCA